AGAGCGAACGCUGGCGGCAGGCCUAACACAUGCAAGUCGAGCGCCCCGCAAGGGGAGCGGCAGACGGGAGAGUAACACGUGGGAACGUACCCUUCAGUUCGGAACAACCCAGGGAAACUUGGGCUAAUACCGAAUACGUCCGUAAGGAGAAAGAUUUAUCGCUGAAGGAUCGGCCCGCGUCUGAUUAGCUUGUUGGUGAGGUAACGGCUCACCAAGGCGACGAUCAGUAGCUGGUCUGAGAGGAUGAUCAGCCUCACUGGGACUGAGACACGGCCCAGACUCCUACGGGAGGCAGCAGUGGGGAAUAUUGGACAAUGGGCGCAAGCCUGAUCCAGCCAUGCCGCGUGGGUGAUGAAGGCCCUAGGGUUGUAAAGCCCUUUCGGCGGGGAAGAUAAUGACGGUACCGCAGAAGAAGCCCGGCUAACUUCGCGCCAGCAGCCGC
Molecule: ribosomal RNA, 442 nt
Filed under: uncultured bacterium
Lineage: Bacteria
Description: SSU rRNA
Rfam family: Bacterial small subunit ribosomal RNA
Source: RNAcentral